RNAcentral lists this transfer RNA (99 nucleotides) under Bacillota bacterium. RNAcentral's name for it is "Firmicutes bacterium (anaerobic digester metagenome) tRNA-Sec". It matches the Rfam family "Selenocysteine transfer RNA". Lineage: Bacteria; Bacillati; Bacillota. The record is from RNAcentral.
GGGGGAAUUUGAGUUCCUGGUGGGCUCCGCAGGCUUCAAACCUGUUGGGGGGUGACAAGGGUUAUCCCCGGUGGGUUCGAUUCCCAUAUUCUCCCGCCA